ACACAGGGGCCGAGUGCGGGAGAGGACAUGCGUCUUUAUCCCACAGCAGAGGGAAACCUCCCCAGGCCUCUAGUCCAGGCCUGACCCCUAUCGGGGUGGCCUUUGGGAGGGAGGGUCCCUUGGGAUGCUAGGUAUAGAUCGGGGAGGUCAGGGUGGCAGGAGCCGGGCUGGCAGGAGGCUGACGGUCCCUGCAGGUGCAUGAAGGUGCAGGAGAACUGGCAAGACCCCAAGAAUGGAUAUGCCUCCUUAAACGUGUGUCCUGUGUGCCCCGCUCACCUUACCCGAGACCCAGCCCCAGCCCCGGUCACAGAGGGAGAAAUUUGAAUAUAAGACACAAUGGAAAUAGCAAAACCAGUUCCACUCUCCUUAGUCUUCUAAACAGAAAGAGGGAUUCGAUGUGGGAAGCAGUAAAAGUUUAUUCCACACCAGGAGAUUUUAUGUUUUUGCCCCUAGAGCACUUUUCCCCUUGUUUUACUCGUGUUUCGGAAAUCUAGAAGACUUGCGAGUAUGGAGGAAAACAAUGAAAACAGCCUAACUGUUGGAUAUUUUUAAAAGAAAAUUCAGCAGAGCAGUUUACCCCCUUCCAGAUGUGGUUUCGCAUGGGCACAGUGGGACGGAAACUAGAUUCUCAACAGCAAAAGCCUUAUUUUCACUGAGAGUGGUUGAAGGAAAAUUAUUGUAUGCUGUUAAAAGAACUGAAAAACAGCAUGUGAAUCUCAUCAGCUGGAUAUAUUGUGACAACAUCAGCUGAUUGUUAUGCAUCUCAAAAUAUGAAACUCCAUCAAUUUUUCUAAAUUUGCUUUUGCACAUCAGUGGAACUUGAGCGAGCUAUCUAUCUAUCUACCUACCUAUCUAUCUAUCUAUCUAUCUAUCUAUCUAUCUAUCUAUCUAUCUAUCUAUCUAUCUAUCAUCUAGUCUAGAAAGCUGAGAAGGAAAGCAGAGACCAAAAGCCCAGCUGGAAGGGCACCUGUUGGCUGCAUCUGUUGACUGCACCUGUUAGUAGCAUCAGGAGGCACACUUGCACAAGGUGUGGAGUAGUCUGGAGGCUUGUGGGAAAGGGAGAUGAUCUGAUCGACACCACCAAUCUUCCCGCAUCCUCAGCACCACCUCCAUCCUCAUCGGAUGUAGAUACACUAUCCAGCCUCAGUGACUCGCUCCAGCUCACGCACCUGCUACAUGGACAUCGUGGAGGCCAAGCUUCUGAUCUUGGCAGGACAGUGGCUCUGCACAGCUGACCAUUUGACACCCCAGGACCUAGGGAUGGACAUGGUGAAAUAUAACAUUCUGAUCUGGCCCUAAAUCUGCUGCUUGGUCACAGAAGGCCAAGGGAAGGCUUAUGCGGUUAAGGGAAAAAACUCACCCGAAGCACAUCAAGUGUUGUCUGCUGUCAUCAGGCUCUGAGCAGUUCUCUCUACAAUGAUGCUUAGAAAACCAGGAAGAAAUACUCCCACCUCCAAGGCUGUGUUGCUAAGUGUGUGUUUCCAGAGUUGCCUUGGGCAAAGUCCGUUGCCCAUCACCACAGCUUCGGGUCAUCGCUGCCACGAGGACUACCCCUUCAGAGGAAGAAGGGAAUCCAUGCUUCCCUGCCUGCUUGGCCUGAGUUGACGUCCUUGCUCUGGGCUGUGAGGUCUACAUACCUGGCCCUGCAAGGUUCAGCCCCACGCAUGGACCUUCUGUGUCUGCAACCUCCCAGCAUCAGCACGAAAAAGCAACCUGCCGUAGAGAGCGGGGGUGUGGUCCAGCAGUCCUGCACCUGCUGGGAUGUGGAUGAGGCGCAUGUUGAGAACAACCCGGUGGGAAAGGCCUACUUUCUCAAGUGCUCCUUCUGGGAAAACAGCCCCAGGUGUUCAGAGACCAGCUGCAGACCAAACGGCAAAGCUGCAGACCAUCCCCCGCCGGCCUUUGUGACCAAGAAGAAACACCCUGUGAGUUAAGUGUCCAGUUAAAACAUGGAGAGGCCAAGGUGUUGGCUGAGCGGCGCUCAGUGUUGGGUCCUUCUGGCUUGGGAAGGGCACGCCCCGUGCCUUGAGCCCUUUGUCACACGUUUUUGUUCCAUGAAACAGAUAAUUGCUGAUUUGGGGACGAUAACCUCAGAUACUAGCUAAACCAUUUUUGAACUUCC
Molecule: long non-coding RNA, 2122 nt
Filed under: Sus scrofa (pig)
Lineage: Eukaryota; Metazoa; Chordata; Mammalia; Artiodactyla; Suidae
Description: lncRNA (ENSSSCG00050015677.1)
Source: RNAcentral